This 529-nucleotide long non-coding RNA is filed under the name Homo sapiens (human). RNAcentral's name for it is "HSALNT0351957". Lineage: Eukaryota; Metazoa; Chordata; Mammalia; Primates; Hominidae. The record is from RNAcentral.
UGAGAAACCAGAAAUCUGAUUAUUUUCAUGAGAAAUUGGAGUUUUACAAAUUAGCAAAACUGUGCUUUGUAAAUGUCUUUAUGCCUUCUAAACGUCCUUUCUCCUGAAGUCUAUAACGUGACAUGGGAUAGCAAAGUAUUUUUUGGCAUGAACCAUUGCAUUGAAUAUCUUAACCCAUUUGUGUUGCUAUUAAAAAAAACUCUUGAGACUAAAAAAUGUAUUAAAAAAAGAGGUUUAUUUGGCUCAUGAUUCUGCAGCCCAUACAGGAAGAAUGGCACCAGCAUCUGCUCAGCUUCUGGUGAAUUUCUCAUGUUGCUUCCACACAUGGCGGAAGGCAAAGGGAAGCCAGCAUGUAGUGAGAUCACAUAGUGAGAAAAGAGGAAAGAGGGGGGAGGGGGUGCUAGGCUCUUUGUAACAACUAGCUUUCUUGGGAACUAACAGAGAGCUCAUUCAUCCCCUCUCCCCAGGGAGGGCAACAAUCUUUUCAUGAGGGAUCUGCUCCCAAGACCCUAACACCUCCCAUUAGGCC